CAAUUAGCUUGAGGGAAACGUUCACUCUUGCUUAUGUGAAGCUUGGGUAAGGUUGUGAAUAAAUAAUUGGAGCUUGAAAUUGUGAAUAUUGGAACUUGGAGGAAGCUGAUUAGUUGAAUUUUGAAGGGGCUGCCUUGGUUUUAAAUAAUUUGCUUUGGUCGUUACGUGGAAACCGGCCAAGAUGCAGGUCGAGAGGCAUCUUGUUAGGCGUCUGGACCCUUGAAGCGG
This is a long non-coding RNA of Arachis duranensis, 228 nucleotides long. RefSeq lists it as uncharacterized. The transcript has 3 exons. The record is from RefSeq and is a predicted model, not a curated record. NCBI's taxonomy places the organism in Eukaryota, Viridiplantae, Streptophyta, Magnoliopsida, Fabales, Fabaceae.